CAGUAGCCGCGGUAAUACGGAGGGGGCUAGCGUUGUUCGGAAUUACUGGGCGUAAAGCGCACGUAGGCGGCUUGGUAAGUUAGAGGUGAAAGCCCGGAGCUCAACUCCGGAAUUGCCUUUAAGACUGCCGAGCUAGUAGGUGAGAGAGGUAAGUGGAAUUCCGAGUGUAGAGGUGAAAUUCGUAGAUAUUCGGAAGAACACCAGUGGCGAAGGCGGCUUACUGGCUCAUACUGGACGCUGAGGUGCGAAAGCGUGGGGAGCAAACAGGAUUAGAUACCCCGGUAGUCCCUGUCUCUUAUAC
Molecule: ribosomal RNA, 301 nt
Filed under: uncultured bacterium
Lineage: Bacteria
Description: partial 16S ribosomal RNA
Rfam family: Bacterial small subunit ribosomal RNA
Source: RNAcentral